GCCCGAGGUUGGAGAUGUUGGGGAAAGUAGUUCCAACCAUCCCUUGCCGGGGAGGCAGCCAGGGACACGCAAGAAGGGUGGCCUGUGGCCCCAGCUCAAACCCAGAAGAUCACAGGUGGCACAGGGAAGCCAAGUGACCAGAUAGGCUGAUAUUGUCCAGAGUACCUGCAGUUUCUAAAUGUUACGUUUGCUUGUUAAGUCUCCCUUGAUAUGCUUUUUAAGGGGGUCUCAUCCUCCUGGAAAAUGUUCCUAUAUUUUUUCAUGUCUAGAUGCAAGCAAAAUUUUGUAAUAACUUUAAAUGGCAUAUACUCUAGAUUUUUUUUUUUUCUCUUUAGGGCCGAACGUGCAGCACAUGGAAGUUCCAGAAUAGGGAUCAAAUCAGACCUGCAGCUGAUGGCCUAUGCCACAGCCAGAUCCUUAACCCUCUGGGUGAGGCCAGGGAUUGAACCCGCAUCCUCAUGGAUACUAGUUUGGUUCGUUACUGCUGAGCCACAAUAGGAACUCCAUAGAAAAAUACUGAAUCACUAUGCUAUACACCUGAAACUAAUAUAAUACUGUAAAUCAGCUAUACUUCAGUUAAAAAACAAAAACAAAAACUCGCCAAGCUGUUUCCAAAGCGUUUCUGCCAUUUUAACCCCCACCAGCAGGAAGAAGAGGCCUUGAUGAAAAUUGUGGGGACAAAACAUUAGUGCUGGAAAAGACCUUGGUGACGCUCAUCCAAACUCCUGAUCCCCUGAAGCCCUGGAAGUGACUCAGGGAAUCUAUUGAGCUGGUCGAUUUGCAAAUUAUGUGCCUAAGACUUGGCCAUACAUAACCCCGAGGUAAGAACAAAUCCACCAUCCGGGAAAAUCUUGACAUAUCUGGGGCUACCCAACAGGACACACUACCCUAAAGGGGUGCCCUGAAGAUCCCCCCCCCAAAAAAAACUCUGAACAGCAGGUACAGCAUUUUCAUAAGAGGAUGGUGUUCCGAGCUGACCUUGGAAGGCAGCCCCCAUGUUGUCCACCUGCUCUGUACCUUUCCAUUCCUGCCUCUUCAUAACUUGCCUGGUCAUGACCCCAGCUCUACCUCCUGGCUCCUUGUAUCCUUUCAAGAAACAUGUGGAGCUCUUGCUGUUCUGGGAGUCUUUCUCUGCUUCUUUUCAGAUAUUAAUGUCGCUGCUGAUCUGACUUGGUUUCACAGUUCAGAUUUUGGACAAGCACCUCCCGUGUUUUUUGAGGUAGACCUCAGGACUACAGAGACAUUGGCUUGUCUGUGGAUUGGUCGUCGACUAGUGAUCCAAGGUGUUAUGGCCGUGGAGAGGGGCUGUGUUCCUUUAAAUGUGGUUGCUUGAGGUGCUGUGGGUGGGGAAGGCUCUGGAACGGAUAACUCCAGCACUGUUGUAUGAGGGGAGAGGAGGACCGUAUAUCCAAUGCUUCCCCCCAAUUUACAAAGCAUCCAACCUCUUUGCAAAGAAGCUAUAUAAUCACUUCUGGGCAGAGGGACCAAUCAAAGCCUGGAUGUAUUCAUUGCUGAGGGAUUAAAAAUCUAAUUUUUCAUUCUCUUGGCUAGCGUUAGUUGCUUCUAUUUAUUUCCUACACAUUGUUCAGAUUUUAACUCAAUCCUUUCUUCUCAUAAAACACAAGUUCUUAAAGUAACGAGGCAUCGACCUUCCACUCUCGGGUACCAACUAUGUAUGCGGCGCUGUGCUCUGCCCUGAUGGAUGACAAAGGAUGUUUUGCCACGUGACCUCAAAGGACAAACAUUGAAUGGUCUUUUUCUACAGACGCUGCAUCCUUCUUAAUAAAGAUGUGAUUUCAGCAGGUAUAUGAUUGUUGGUUUCUACAAAACAUCAGACCGACCUGCAUACUUUUAAGAAGUUGCAAGGGAAACAUAAUCAGCCAUCACACAUACCACCGUGAUUCAUUUCCCACAUUUGAGGUCUUCUUAUUCCACUGUCUCCCGAGUGUGAACAGCCAAGGAUGAAGAAGCAGAGAGAAUUAUUUUUGUGGGGCUGCGCAUGGCUAAACCCAUGGGGGUUUACAUCCCCAGAUCCAUUCCAUCUCCGGUGAGGCGUUUAAUCCAAUCACGCCAGUUCCAUUCAUCGUGCCCAGUUGACCAGGAAGGGGUCUGAGACUUGAUUCCGGCCAGUGAGACUUGAAGAAAAGCCUGCAGAAUCCCGCGGCAGAGAGAGUGUGUCCUCCCUGUUUCUGGAAGUGGCCCCGUGUGUGUUUGGUGGGCGGUCUCCUAACAAAGUACCAGACCAUGUGGCUUAACCGAUGAAAAUGCAUUGUCUCACAAUUCUGGGGCCCAAGAUCAAGUUGCUGGUAGACUUGGUUUCUUCUGAGCUCUCUCUCCUGGGCUGGUGGAUGGUGAUCUUCGCUCUGUGUCUGGAUGUCGUCGUUUUGCUGUGGGUCAAUGUGUUCCUAUCUCCUCGUCUUAUAAGGAUGCUAAUUGGACCCGGACCCACUCUAAUGACCUCCUUCUGCCUUAUUUAUCUCUUUAAAGACCCAAUCUCCAGAUACAGCUAUAUGCGGAAGCAUAAGAAUCUGGAGGACACAGUUCCGCCCACACCCUGCAUCUGGCACGAUGCCUGGAAUGCCUGUGGCCGCCGUGCUGCGGACCCAGGAUGAGUUCAGCCCAGCCCCCCCAUGUGAGCCUGAGAGCCUGCGGCCCCAGCUGCCGACACUGCUCACCCUGAAAGUCGUGAAAUGACAAGUGCCCUUAUUGUUAAUCCCGGUGGAAUUGGGAUUUUCAAAAGCAUCCUAAUGGAGGGACAUAAAACCUGAAAAGUGAAGAUUGGGCCGACGGCAGCGGGGUUUGCAGGGCUCCUCUGAAGGGACAAGAGGAGCCGAGUUUGCUUCUUUCUCUUUUGGAGGCUUGAUGCCCUGUCCCAGCUUGUGAGCAUGCGCACACACGGCUGAUGGUCUCCCCGCUGCUCCCUGGCUCCCAGGUGGGCCCUCGAGUCCCCACCUCCAUCCUCAGCCACAGACAGUGUCCCCCAAGCCUGGCUCUGGGCAGACAAGAACCUUGGCCUGUCCCUUGCAACUCACUUUCGCUGUGCUGUGCCAAGUGAAUUGAAUUCUGCCACUUCCUCUUUUUCCUGCCAGGCAUCGUCCAACAGAGGGAUAAGCGGAGACAGAGAGGAGUUCUCAGCCCCACAAAGCAGAGAUUCUGGGCAUUUUCAAUACACAGAGCUGUGGUGUAAGCAAGACUCUGCCAUAGAGAGAAAUCAUAAAAUGAGCAUAGGCUGUUCCUAAAGCACGCGGUGGGGAUGUCUGGGGUUCAGGGGAGGACCCUAGAGCCAGUUGUGUCUGUCCUCUUCUUCCCACCAGAGUCUGGGGCGGCCGAUGGGGGCAGGGAAAUGAGGUCUCCUUUGCAUCCUCUGGCCGCGCCCAGAAUCCCAAUCUGCCCCGUCCCUCCCCCCAGACAGCCAUUCUCAAGUUCAUGCCAGGCAAACGUCCCUGGGUGGCUGCCGGCCUCCCCGGGGGAGGGAUUCCAGCCGUGGGAAGAGCACAGCUCCAAGGACAUCAUGUUACUCCCACUGAAACAGUGUCAGGAAGCAGGAGGGAGGGGACCAGGGAACAGGGAACGUACAGGGAGGCCUGGGACUGUGCUGGGACAAUCUGGGCCCUGCAGACGCUCCCGAUGAUGAGUGUUCUCAAGUCUUUCCGGGACGGGGCCUCCUGGGCUGUCUGCAGCACCCCGGCCACCCGGUCAGUCUCUCCCAGCACUGCUGCUUCACCUCCUCUUGGCACCCCCCCUCCCCCAGGGGUCCCAGCCACGCUGUGACCUGGGAGGAGAGCCCUGUGGUGGGUGCUGGCCUUGGACAGCAGAGCCUGGGUUUGGGGAGAAGUUCUGGUUCAGAACUUGGAAUCUGGAUUUUCUGCUAAUCAGAGGCCUUUUCCUCUGGCUGCAUAAUAACACUGUUUUGGUUGCUAAGGAACCCUGUUUUAAUUGCACAUGGGCUUGAGUGGCUCUAGGAUGAUAAUUCUCCACGCAGAUGUCUGGAGAAUAGCACAGCGCUGAAGUGACAAUUGGGCCAUUCCUCACCAAGGGCAUGUCACACUGCACGAGAGUUUCCUUACCGGGUACCGAGGCACUGAUUUUUGAGAGCAAAAGCAGGAUUCCCUCCCCGGGUCUGACGCCUGGCCUGCAGCGCAGCAAGUGAUCAGCUUUGUUUUAUAGGCUGAUAGUUUGCAGGCUAUUAGUCUGACUGAACGGUUCUCCUAAUGAUCAGAUCAUUAUAACGGUGUAUUAGUUUGACACAAGGUAAUGAAAUAUUGUUACCUCUGACAGACUGGCUGUCUAUGUGGGCUGUAUCUCACCCUUUCUGCUGAAGAGAGGCCUCCUUGGUUUUCUUUUGUAGUAAAAAUGGCACCUGAUGGAAGAUCUCUUUGGCGAAAGGACUCGAGAAUCAUUUAAGAGUAAAGUUUAUUAUUGCGAAGGGUAACUGCUUUUUCUGUUUUGUUUUUCGUGAUGGAAAGGACAUUGUUGAGCUGAGUCUCUAAGGGAAGAGGACAGAAGCUGGCAAAUCAUUCCAGCGCUGCAAGUCCUCAUAAAAUCGAUGUGCUCUUUUACUUUAGACACAGAGGAGGGUCCUGGGUUGUUUGCCAGGCAAUUUCCCAGCACAUGGAGACCCUGGCACAAGGUGGGGUUCACAUCUGUUGGCGAGGAGGUCAGAUACAGGCCUGGGUGGGGUUGAAGUUGCCGAUUGGGGCGACACAUCAGUAGGCGCUUUGUUUUUCACGCCGAUGGGCUGGUUUUAGUGGGAAAACACGCGACCCGAAUAACAUCCAAGUAGUUGAAUGUUGGGCUUUGAAAAAUCUUUUAGAGGAGAGAGAAUUUGCGUUGUUUUCUUUUUCAAAAAGAGUCGCUUUCGCCUCCCUGUUCUGCGGGCAGGUGGUGUUCCAUCUGCGACAGCCAGGGUUCUUGAAGUGCAAGCGGCAGCUACGCUGCUGACCUUAAUCCGAAAAGGAGUUUAUUAAAAUGAUACUGAGCAGUAAAUAUAUCUAAAAACACCAUUUGAACAACCAGAGAUCCAGAAGAGCUGGCAUGAGGGCACCUCCAGGAGAGCUCAUUGGAGUCCAGUGGCUUCAGCCAUUCCCUGUGUUUUUAUUACUUUGAGAUUCAAAUGUCAGCGAUUCAAUUGUUCAAUUGCCCUAAGCUUCAGCUCCAGAAUUCUGAUGUUGGAGGGGCUUCUGUACCGUAACACCCACACUGCUUGUGGUGAUUUUAUAAAUGGGCCUUCAAGGGGGCUGGUGGAAGAUCUUGGGAUGACCUCCGAGUCAUUUUCGGGUGCCAAUGACAGCAGAGCACACCUUGACUGACCCACAAGCCCAGGGAAAAGAAAACAAUAGACUCUCUCCAUCCCACCUUUCUUAAGCACGUCGUUGGUCGAUUCUCUGACUUGAGUCUCUAGACAGUUUCUGGAGCCUAACUUUAAAACUGUUCCUUCCGAUACUGAACCCAAGGUCGCUCUGCUCGCCACACGACAAACGCAUAAAUUCAGAGACAGGUUGUUGGGACAAGGAAUAGUGACGUUAAUUGGAACGCAAGCAGACUGAGAAGCUGGCAGACUAGUGUCUCAAAAAACCAUCUUGCCUCAGUCCGAAUUCAGACUCCUUUUAUACAGAGGGGAUGGAGGGGAGAGGCCAGCGGUCACUCACUAACUGUCACGUGCUUGGGGAAGGGUCCACUGCAAUGCAGACCUGUGCUGAGCAGAACAAAGGUCAUUCACCACUGGUUACUUGCUUAUACUUCUUUCUAGAGCAGCACCUGCUAUCCCCAAGGCCACACCGUAGGUCAACUGCUCAGCCCAUUUCUAGCCUCCUUCUUUGUGCUGGCAGAGGUCAUUUC
Molecule: long non-coding RNA, 5838 nt
Filed under: Sus scrofa (pig)
Lineage: Eukaryota; Metazoa; Chordata; Mammalia; Artiodactyla; Suidae
Description: lncRNA (ENSSSCG00005017641.1)
Source: RNAcentral